GUGAGGAAUAUUGGUCAAUGGACGAGAGUCUGAACCAGCCAAGUCGCGUGAAGGAAGACGGAUCUAUGGUUUGUAAACUUCUUUAGUGCGGGAACAAAGCGGCGUCGUGACGCCGGAUGAGUGUACCGCAAGAAUAAGCAUCGGCUAACUCCGUGCCAGCAGCCGCGGUAAUACGGAGGAUGCGAGCGUUAUCCGGAUUUAUUGGGUUUAAAGGGAGCGCAGGCUGCGAGGCAAGUCAGCGGUCAAAUGUCGGGGCUCAACCCCGGCCUGCCGUUGAAACUGUCCUGCUAGAGUUCGAGUGAGGUAUGCGGAAUGCGUUGUGUAGCGGUGAAAUGCAUAGAUAUGACGCAGAACUCCGAUUGCGAAGGCAGCAUACCAACUCGCGACUGACGCUGAGGCUCGAAAGCGUGGGUAUCGAACAGGAUUAGAAACCCUAGUAGUCC
This 443-nucleotide ribosomal RNA is filed under the name uncultured bacterium. RNAcentral describes it as "bacterial SSU rRNA". It matches the Rfam family "Bacterial small subunit ribosomal RNA", at positions 354 to 796 of the family's 1533-position model. The record is from RNAcentral.